AUUGAACGCUGGCGGCAUGCCUUACACAUGCAAGUCGAACGGUAACAGGUCUUCGGAUGCUGACGAGUGGCGAACGGGUGAGUAAUACAUCGGAACGUGCCUAGUAGUGGGGGAUAACUACUCGAAAGAGUGGCUAAUACCGCAUGAGAUCUACGGAUGAAAGCAGGGGAUCGCAAGACCUUGUGCUACUAGAGCGGCCGAUGGCAGAUUAGGUAGUUGGUGGGAUAAAAGCUUACCAAGCCGACGAUCUGUAGCUGGUCUGAGAGGACGAUCAGCCACAGUGGGAGUGGGACACGGCCCAGACUCCUACGGGAGGAAGCAGUGGGGAAUUUUGGACAAUGGGCGAAAGCCUGAUCCAGCAAUGCCGCGUGCAGGAUGAAGGCCUUCGGGUUGUAAACUGCUUUUGUACGGAACGAAAAGCCCUGGGUUAAUACCCUGGGGUCAUGACGGUACCGUAAGAAUAAGCACCGGCUAACUACGUGCCAGCCGCCGCCGUAA
This 498-nucleotide ribosomal RNA is filed under the name uncultured bacterium. Its description in RNAcentral is "partial 16S ribosomal RNA". It matches the Rfam family "Bacterial small subunit ribosomal RNA", at positions 30 to 523 of the family's 1533-position model. The record is from RNAcentral.